UUGCAUAUGUAUCUAUGUCAUUGGAACCAUAAUUAUGUGCCAAUUCUAUUUUUUGUGUAAAACAAUACCGAUAAAAUCAAAAUUAGAAAGUCAUAUAAAAUAACUAAGAACAGAAGACAGAUGUUGCAUAAGUAAUUUUUAUAUAUAAUUACAUUACAGACAUAGUGUCAUAUAUUUCGUUCGAUACCCUUUUUCGUAAAUAUCGUUAGUACAGGUGAACCACGAAUUCAAAUGUUCAACGAAUAACACAUUUUGUAUGGGCUUUGAUUGGUAGAGAUAGGCCACAGGCACUCGUCUCAGAAUUUUUUCCCCUAUAUACCUUUAUAUAACACGCAGUAUUAAGGUAUAUGGUAAAAAAAUGUCUGAGACAAGUGCCUGUGAGAUAGGCUAAGUAACGAAAUGAAAUAUCCAAGAAAAUUGAACUUUUCCUCAAUCCAUGAAAAUGAAAUGAAUCAACAUUUACAGACAUAGUUUUAUGUACGUGUUCAUAACAGUUAUUAUGGAUUUUGCCAUGACCAUUCUUUGUGUCGUCAUCUGAAUGUUCAGAAACUAACCAUCAAUCAUUGCUGAUGCAACAACUCAUUAAAUUGUAUGAUAUUUUAUGAAUUUUAAGAUAAAGAAUUUCGGAAACAGGUUUUUUAAGAAAAGUUAAGAAAUCUUUCAACUUAAAAAUUCACGAAUACAAAAAAUAUAUGAUAUGAU
Molecule: long non-coding RNA, 702 nt
Filed under: Mytilus galloprovincialis (Mediterranean mussel)
Lineage: Eukaryota; Metazoa; Mollusca; Bivalvia; Mytilida; Mytilidae
Source: RNAcentral